This 527-nucleotide ribosomal RNA is filed under the name uncultured bacterium. RNAcentral's name for it is "bacterial SSU rRNA". It matches the Rfam family "Bacterial small subunit ribosomal RNA", at positions 28 to 599 of the family's 1533-position model. The record is from RNAcentral.
AACGAACGCUGGCGGCAAGCCUAACACAUGCAAGUCGAACGGGCACCUUCGGGUGUCAGUGGCAGACGGGUGAGUAACGCGUGGGAACGUACCCUUCGGUUCGGAAUAACCCGGGGAAACUCGGGCUAAUACCGGAUACGUCCGCAAGGAGAAAGAUACAUCGCCGAGGGAUCGGCCCGCGUCCGAUUAGCUAGUUGGUGGGGUAAUGGCCCACCAAGGCGACGAUCGGUAGCUGGUCUGAGAGGAUGAUCAGCCACACUGGGACUGAGACACGGCCCAGACUCCUACGGGAGGCAGCAGUGGGGAAUAUUGGACAAUGGGCGAAAGCCUGAUCCAGCCAUGCCGCGUGAGUGAAGAAGGCCCUAGGGUUGUAAAGCUCUUUCAGCGGGGAAGAUAAUGACGGUACCCGCAGAAGAAGCCCCGGCUAACUUCGUGCCAGCAGCCGCGGUAAUACGAAGGGGGCUAGCGUUGUUCGGAUUUACUGGGCGUAAAGCGCGCGUAGGCGGACAUUUAAGUCAGGGGUGAAA